RNAcentral lists this ribosomal RNA (392 nucleotides) under uncultured bacterium. RNAcentral describes it as "bacterial SSU rRNA". It matches the Rfam family "Bacterial small subunit ribosomal RNA", at positions 29 to 420 of the family's 1533-position model. The record is from RNAcentral.
AUUGAACGCUGGCGGAAUGCUUUACACAUGCAAGUCGAGCGGCAGCGCGGGGGCAACCCUGGCGGCGAGCGGCGAACGGGUGAGUAAUACAUCGGAACGCGUCCUUAAGUGGGGGAUAGCUCGGCGAAAGCCGGAUUAAUACCGCAUAAGCUCUGAGGAGGAAAGCGGGGGCUCCGUAAGGACCUCGCGCUGUUGGAGCGGCCGAUGUCGGAUUAGCUAGUUGGUGGGGUAAAGGCCCACCAAGGCGACGAUCCGUAGCUGGUCUGAGAGGAUGAUCAGCCACACUGGAACUGAGACACGGUCCAGACUCCUACGGGAGGCAGCAGUGGGGAAUUUUGGACAAUGGGGGCAACCCUGAUCCAGCCAUUCCGCGUGAGUGAAGAAGGCCUGGU